CCCAAGAGAUCGGGAUAACACCUGGAAACAGAUGCUAAUACCGGAUAACAACAGAUGAUGCCUAUCAACUGUUUAAAAGAUGGUUCUGCUAUCACUCUUGGAUGGACCUGCGGUGCAUUAGCUAGUUGGUAGGGUAACGGCCUACCAAGGCGAUGAUGCAUAGCCGAGUUGAGAGACUGAUCGGCCACAUUGGGACUGAGACACGGCCCAAACUCCUACCGGGAGGCAGCAGGC
RNAcentral lists this ribosomal RNA (234 nucleotides) under uncultured Lactobacillus sp. Its description in RNAcentral is "partial 16S ribosomal RNA". It matches the Rfam family "Bacterial small subunit ribosomal RNA", at positions 129 to 354 of the family's 1533-position model. Lineage: Bacteria; Bacillati; Bacillota; Bacilli; Lactobacillales; Lactobacillaceae. The record is from RNAcentral.